AUACGUAGGUGGCAAGCGUUGUCCGGAAUUAUUGGGCGUAAAGCGCAUGUAGGCGGUUUGGUAAGUCGGUCGUGAAAAUGCGGUGCUUAACGCCGUGUGGGGAUUGAAACUGCUGAACUUGAGUGCAGGAGAGGAAAGGGGCACUCCCAGUGUAGCGGUGAAAUGCGUAGAUAUUGGGAAGAACACCGGUGGCGAAGGCGCCUUUCUGGACUGUGUCUGACGCUCAGAUGCGAAAGCCAGGGUAGCGAACGGGAUUAGAUACCCCGGUAGUCCUGGCCGUAAACGAUGGGUACUAGGUGUGGGAGGUAUCGACUCCUUCCGUGCCGGAGUUAAAGCAAUAAGUACCCCGCCUGGGGAGUACGGCCGCAAGGCUUAAACUCAAAGGAAUUGGCGGGG
Molecule: ribosomal RNA, 396 nt
Filed under: uncultured bacterium
Lineage: Bacteria
Description: partial 16S ribosomal RNA
Rfam family: Bacterial small subunit ribosomal RNA
Source: RNAcentral